GGCGAACGGGUGAGUAACACGUGGGUGAUCUGCCCUGCACUUCGGGAUAAGCCUGGGAAACUGGGUCUAAUACCGGAUAGGAGCCAUUUUUAGUGUGAUGGUUGGAAAGUUUUUCGGUGUAGGAUGAGCUCGCGGCCUAUCAGCUUGUUGGUGGGGCAAUGGCCUACCAAGGCGGCGACGGGUAGCCGGCCUGAGAGGGUGGACGGCCACAUUGGGACUGAGAUACGGCCCAG
Molecule: ribosomal RNA, 233 nt
Filed under: uncultured Actinomycetales bacterium
Lineage: Bacteria; Bacillati; Actinomycetota; Actinomycetes; Actinomycetales
Description: partial 16S ribosomal RNA
Rfam family: Bacterial small subunit ribosomal RNA
Source: RNAcentral